RNAcentral lists this ribosomal RNA (473 nucleotides) under uncultured bacterium. Its description in RNAcentral is "bacterial SSU rRNA". It matches the Rfam family "Bacterial small subunit ribosomal RNA", at positions 28 to 492 of the family's 1533-position model. The record is from RNAcentral.
GAUGAACGCUGGCGGCGUGCCUAACACAUGCAAGUCGAACGGAGUUAUGAUGUGAGCGGGAAGUGCUUGCACUAAACAAUCUUUUCAUAACUUAGUGGCGGACGGGUGAGUAACGCGUGGGUAACCUGCCCUGUACUGGGGGACAACAGUUGGAAACGACUGCUAAUACCGCAUAAGCGCACGGGAUCGCAUGAUCUAGUGUGAAAAACUCCGGUGGUACAGGAUGGACCCGCGUCUGAUUAGCUGGUUGGUGAGGUAACGGCCCACCAAGGCAACGAUCAGUAGCCGGCCUGAGAGGGUGAACGGCCACAUUGGGACUGAGACACGGCCCAGACUCCUACGGGAGGCAGCAGUGGGGAAUAUUGCACAAUGGAGGAAACUCUGAUGCAGCGACGCCGCGUGAGUGAAGAAGUAGUUCGCUAUGUAAAGCUCUAUCAGCAGGGAAGAUAGUGACGGUACCUGACUAAGAAGCU